This 490-nucleotide ribosomal RNA is filed under the name uncultured bacterium. RNAcentral's name for it is "partial 16S ribosomal RNA". It matches the Rfam family "Bacterial small subunit ribosomal RNA", at positions 30 to 507 of the family's 1533-position model. The record is from RNAcentral.
AUUGAACGCUGGCGGCAGGCCUAACACAUGCAAGUCGAACGGUAACAGGAAGCAGCUUGCUGCUUUGCUGACGAGUGGCGGACGGGUGAGUAAUGUCUGGGAAACUGCCCGAUGGAGGGGGAUAACUACUGGAAACGGUAGCUAAUACCGCAUAACGUCGCAAGACCAAAGAGGGGGACCUUAGGGCCUCUUGCCAUCGGAUGUGCCCAGAUGGGAUUAGCUAGUAGGUGGGGUAACGGCUCACCUAGGCGACGAUCCCUAGCUGGUCUGAGAGGAUGACCAGCCACACUGGAACUGAGACACGGUCCAGACUCCUACGGGAGGCAGCAGUGGGGAAUAUUGCACAAUGGGCGCAAGCCUGAUGCAGCCAUGCCGCGUGUAUGAAGAAGGCCUUCAGGUUGUAAAGUACUUUCAGCGGGGAGGAAGGGAGUAAAGUUAAUACCUUUGCUCAUUGACGUUACCCGCAGAAGAAGCACCGGCUAACUCCGUG